CAGGCCUAACACAUGCAAGUCGAACGCCCCCGCAAGGGGGAGUGGCAGACGGGUGAGUAACACGUGGGAACAUACCCUUCGGUUCGGAACAACGCCGGGAAACUGGCGCUAAUACCGGAUACGCCCUUUGGGGGAAAGGCUUGCCGCCGAAGGAGUGGCCCGCGUUCGAUUAGCUUGAUGGCGGGGUAACGGCCCACCAUGGCGACGAUCGAUAGCUGGUCUGAGAGGAUGGCCAGCCACAUUGGGACUGAGACACGGCCCAAACUCCUACGGGAGGCAGCAGUGGGAAUAUUGGACAAUGGGCGCAAGCCUGAUCCAGCCAUGCCGCGUGAGUGAUGACGGCCUUAGGGUUGUAAAGCUCUUUCGCACGCGACGAUAAUGACGGUAGCGUGAGAAGAAGCCCCGGCUAACUUCGUGCCAGCAGCCGCGGUAAU
Molecule: ribosomal RNA, 434 nt
Filed under: uncultured bacterium
Lineage: Bacteria
Description: bacterial SSU rRNA
Rfam family: Bacterial small subunit ribosomal RNA
Source: RNAcentral